GGCUGGUAGUGGGGGAUAACGUCCGGAAACGGACGCUAAUACGCGCAUACGUCCUACGGGAGAAAGCGGGGGACCUUCGGGCCUUGCGCUAUCAGAUGAGCCUGGGUCGGAUUAGGUAGUUGGUGGGGUAAUGGCUCACCAAGGCGGCGAUCCGUAACUGGUCUGAGAGGAUGAUCAGUCACACUGAAGUGGAGACACGGUCCACCCGCCUACGGGAGGCAGCAGUGGGGAAUAUUGGACAAUGGGCGAAAGCGU
Molecule: ribosomal RNA, 255 nt
Filed under: uncultured bacterium
Lineage: Bacteria
Description: partial 16S ribosomal RNA
Rfam family: Bacterial small subunit ribosomal RNA
Source: RNAcentral